CACGUAUUUUUCCAAAUUUUCCUUUCUAUAUUCUUCACCACAUAGCGCCAUCUUCACUCGGAGCCGUGGGCGCUGGAGAGACGCUUGUGGCGCUCGCGUCAGUAUUCAGUCAGCAAUCGUCUUGCGAGUUAGAGUGUUCUCUGAUCUGUGUCUAUCUUGUGUCAGCUAAUUUGAGCAGCCACAAUUCUCCGCGUCACGAAUUCGCGAAUAACGGCAGUAAACGCUAAUUGACAGCCCCCAAACACCCGUUGACUGAUACGUCGCAGGCCACAUCGAGCGAAAGGCAACAGAAGGCCGGCUCGAUCGACCGCUCUCUAUCUGUCUUUCUCGUGCUCACUCGUGACGCCGACUGUGAUCGACUCCAGCGUAGCGCACGCACACGCACGUAUACACAUCGAACUGCAGCAGAAUCGCUCCGAAACAGGAGACCCGUCUGUAAUCCCGACUCGAGCUGCAGGCAGCCGUGCGCGGCCGUUGGAUUUUCACGCUAUAAGGCGGCCGUCCAGCAGGGCGAUACCAUUUUAUAUGACUUUACUUCGACGACGACGAGCAACCAGCCAUUUUGGAUACACGACACGAUGGUAUGCAUGCGAGGCAGGCGAGACGGGUGAAGUGAGAUGGGCGGGGCGGGACGUCCCAUCGUGCCUGCGGAAAUGAACGUGUUCCUCUCUCGCUCUCUUUCUUCGUUCAGCGACGUCGACGACAAUGUCUCGCGUGUGUCGCGAUGCGUCACCACUGUGCGUUGCAAAUGCUCUCGUUGCCGGUCAAUGUUGACUCGGUAAUCGACAGACAUGGUCCCCUAGGUCGUACGUUGUCUCUCUCUCGCGUAUAUUUCCUGUUUUUUUUAUCUUCCUCCUUCAUAUUGAUACCGGUACUGAUUGGUACCGGUACUAUACGAGCGACGUAUCUUGGAAUAUAAGAAUAAAAAAAUAAUUAACGUGUAAACAUAUGUCGAAAUGAUAUAUGUGACGACGUUUCAACUGCGUCGAUUAACUUUCUCAGAAGUAAAAUUUAUUAAAAUCAGAAAAGAGAAUGAUUUAUAUGAUCGAAUAGAAAUUGAAAAAGUCCAAACCGGAGAAUGAUUUAAUUUUAAAGUGACAAAUAUGACAUCUGUAAAUCAUGGAACCAUGGAAAAUCAUUUCUCUUCCCUUCUAUGACAUCUUGCGGCUUCGCAACAGUUCAUUAGAAUUUUGUCGACAGUUUUUUAUUUGAAUUGAAACAGGACAUUUGAACGUACAUACACGUGUUGGUAUUCCUGAAAAGAUUAACCGACAUUUUAGUGAUUGAGAGCGGAAUUUACAGAUUUCUCGACUGCGAUAUGUUUGCGAAUUCUAAUCGUGCGUAACAAAAUCUUACUAGCUAUUCAAACUAUUCCAACAGGUAUCGUGACUAAUGUAUUCGCAAUAAUGGAAACAGCUUAGAACGAUCCGAAACUUGAUAGCCACAGCUCAGAGCCGCUGUUUCCAUUGAAAUAUGAAGCGACAAUUGUGAUAAACUGAUCGCUGACCGAGGGCGACCGUUAUAUGUAUAAACAUCUAUACAAACGACUUACAUAGUCGUUUUUUAUUAUUUUUGCGUGAAAAGCAUUUUUCGUAACUGAUUUUGGUAGCGAUGUUUACAGAAUAAGUCCGAUGUUUAUACGAGAGUUGCACAUAUAGCUUAAAAUUCGUGUGACUUCAAUUUAUACAUUUUAAUCGCAUUAUUCGAUCGUGUCACGUUUACGAAAGAAUCGGCGAGUCUCGCAUAUCACAAUUUCUCAUCUUAAGAUUGAAUUGAAUUUUGCUCUUUAUAUCUGUUCUUUUUCGAAGAACUUUUGAAUUAGUGCACAUUAGUACAAUAAGUUCGAAUGAAAGAAAAUAUAUUUGUUUCACUCCAAUUUAUUUAGUUUAGAAGUCCUUUGAAAAAGAAUCUUUUGCAAAUACUCUGCAUUAUCUUAUAUUUUCCUUUUUCAUUGUUUUAUCAUAUAUCAAAUAUGCAUCUACUUCAUUUCAGAUCCAUCCUUUUCUAUUGAAUUGAGUUGUAUUCUUUACCAUUGGAAUGAAACUAAUAUGCUUCAAAAAGAAUGAAGUUCCAAUGCAGCACUAAGCUAAAAGCAAUAAGCUUUUUAAAGUGCAAUAAUAAUGCAAGUUGUCGUAUACCUAUAAGGGAUGGGUCUUUUAAGCCCAGUCUGCAAUAGGAUUAGGACCUCGGACAGCAGCGAGAGACGCUUUUAGGCGAAAAUUAAAUCACAAUUUUGAACUGGAAAAUUAAAUCACAAUUUUUAUUUGGAAUAUAAAGUCAGAGGCUUACUAGUACAUUUACUGGUAAUCGGAAUUUCAUCUUGAAAUGACACACGACUGAGGGACGAUGAUGAAUAUAAUUUAGCAACUUGUGCGUAUAGACUCGAAAAGUCGAAGCAUGAGAGACAGGGAGAGGAGGGGUUCUAGCAACGUAAAGUAUCAAAGUCACGUGAUUCGACGAGAAGUUGAGAAAUUUCUGAGAACAUUUUUAUCCUCUAACGAUUUUGUUCUCGUAAUGUACUUGUCAUCGAUCAUUUGUUUAUCUUACGUCAUGUUUUCAGCUACUGAAAAUUAUACUCAGAGAAGCAUACACUUUUCGAAGAAUCCUAAGAUAACUGAAGGAUCGACGAAAAUUCGCAACACGCUCGUGGGGAAUCAUCUUGAAAGAGUUGGAUCCGAGAUCGUAUAUUCUGGAUGUAUAUAGCAAACGCUAAAUAUGUCUUUUUCUCGUCUUCAAUACUUUGACAAUCUCUGUCAUGUAUAUGUGACUUCAGUCUGCCAGCAAUUAUCGUCUUAAAAAAAACAUUUCGCGGUGAAAAAGAUUGGCCGACAGGAGCCAUUUGCUUAUCGGGUAAGAUAAUCUAAUUUAACAGCGGCAGGACAAAUUAUUAAAUUAUUGUAUCCAUACACCAUAGGUAAUGAAUGGCUCUUGUUAAUUUACCAUUCCGAAUAUGAUAAACUUUGGAACAUUCGAAGUAUAUGGGAAGAAAACAUUUGUUGAUAUUAAAAUUCUGUUUUGAUCAAAAACGUAAAUAAGCCCAAUUUAGGUACAAAAUUCCCGCCGGCUGUAGGCAACAAUCUUCCCACCACACCAAUGCGACCGUCCAAGUGUCAAACAACCUUAUACAUGACACUCAUGUAAGAAACCUGGAACUUGGAAUUAGAAAGCCUUUAGCGUUCGCUUCGCGUCCAGAAUAAGGCCCCGAGAUAGUAGUUUCUUUCGCGAGGAAAGUUGCAGCGCGCAUAUGCCCAGUCUAAUCAGUAGCUGAAAAGUUAUAUUUUCUUUUUCUUCUUCGACGAAUUCCGUAACAUAUUUGUGUCCAAUAGAAGAAGAGAAGAAUGUUUCUCAGUAAUCAUUGGGAGAUAAAUUUUCCUCUUGAAUAUUGGAUGGCAUUCCGAGGUUCGCCAAGAUAAAAGUACCACGACCGUCACAUGCGAACUGACACGGUCUGUAACGUUGAACUUCACUUGCAUGUAUUCUCGCGACGAUAAAAAAGAUCUCGAACACGUCAUUUGCAUAUUAUGCAAAUUACGAACAGUUGCGUCAUCUAAUGGUAAAUGAUUGCUCCAAUACACAGCUCGAUGACAGUUACAUGUAUGUCGACGAAAUUGUAUUGCAUGGAGAAUCUGAAGAGUCGAUUGGAUCACAUUGAAUUAUCAUGUCGUGCGUGUUUUCCUCGAAACUGUAUUUGCAACAGCAAACUUUCGAUGGUAAUUCGCGCCGACUGGUCGAUAUACGCCGCGAUUAAAUUGCGCAAUAUAAAUAGCAUUUGGGCAGAUAGUUCGCCAAUGAAAUCUUUGUCUACAUGUGUCUUCGCGACUUUUCUAACCGUUGUGUUUUUUGAUCGAGGUAUAUCGUGCGGCGUAUUGAUCCACAAUAAUUGUCGCGACCGUCGGAUGUAAAUACUUUCUCGUGUUUCUGUUUUACAGACCGAUGUAACUGAAACUUUCGCGAUCGCGAUAUCAUUGUACGAUC
Harpegnathos saltator (Jerdon's jumping ant) is the source of this 3975-nucleotide long non-coding RNA. RefSeq lists it as uncharacterized. The record is from RefSeq and is a predicted model, not a curated record. NCBI's taxonomy places the organism in Eukaryota, Metazoa, Arthropoda, Insecta, Hymenoptera, Formicidae. The transcript is spliced from 3 exons.